Molecule: long non-coding RNA, 846 nt
Organism: Astyanax mexicanus (Mexican tetra)
Lineage: Eukaryota; Metazoa; Chordata; Actinopteri; Characiformes; Acestrorhamphidae
Exons: 4
Source: RefSeq, a predicted model, not a curated record
CACAUGCAUACAGCAGCUGAUUUGUUUAGAUAUGGAAUACUUACUGUAACUGUAUAAAAGGGUGGGGGAAGUUACCUGUUGCAGGUGAGGGUGUGGUCAUGACAUUUAAAAAGCAGAAAAUAACUGCAUUUCAGCUUCAGACCAGCAGCUACAGUACAAGGAGAUCCUUCUAAUCAUCAUCAUCAUCAUCAUCAUCAACACGCCAGCAUGCCUGUGAAAGUGCUGAUUGAACACUGCACUAGGUGAGGUUAUGAAGCUCGGUUUCGGGAUUUGGCCUUUGAAAUAAAGAAGGCAGUACCUGAUGCCGAGGUUUCAGCAAUGGUUGGGCGAACAGGCAGUUUCGAGGUGAUGCUGAAUGGAAAGCUAGCAUUCUCCAAACUGCAGAAUAAAGCCUUCCCGUCUACUGCAGAGGUGACCAAAAAGGUGGCGCAGGUGAGUGCGGGCGGUGCUGUGGAGGAGCUGGAGACGAGUGAACCUGUGGAGGCUGUGAGGAAGAAGAAGAAGAGCUCGGUGUGUGUUGUACAGUAGAGAAUGUCGUGUGUGUGUGUGUCUGUGUGUGUGUGUGUGGAGCUGGGAUUCUCUCCUUAUGAUCACACACUCUGAAACCUGAAGGAGUGUGUGUGAUGAUUUCUGAGACAGUUCCCAGCAUGAUCAGUACACACACACACACACACACACACACACACUUUCCUGCACUUUUAAUAAACACUAAUACUCACUAAUACAUUUUAAUCAUUCCUUUAUUUUUAAGAGUGUGUGAAGAAUAAAUCUCACAGUGAAUUAAAGAAAAAAGCGUUAGAAACAUCAUUUAUUAAGUUACAUCAUAUUUUAAUGCACCCGGACAAG